GAUGAAAUCAACAUGGAUACCAUGCCCAUU
This 30-nucleotide non-coding RNA is filed under the name Homo sapiens (human). Lineage: Eukaryota; Metazoa; Chordata; Mammalia; Primates; Hominidae. The record is from RNAcentral.